This 446-nucleotide ribosomal RNA is filed under the name uncultured bacterium. RNAcentral describes it as "bacterial SSU rRNA". It matches the Rfam family "Bacterial small subunit ribosomal RNA", at positions 329 to 792 of the family's 1533-position model. The record is from RNAcentral.
UGCCAGACUCCUACGGGAGGCAGCAGUGGGGAAUAUUGCACAAUGGGGGAAACCCUGAUGCAGCGACGCCGCGUGAGUGAAGAAGUAUUUCGGUAUGUAAAGCUCUAUCAGUAGGGAAGAAAAUGACGGUACCUGACUAAGAAGCCCCGGCUAACUACGUGCCAGCAGCCGCGGUAAUACGUAGGGGGCAAGCGUUAUCCGGAUUUACUGGGUGUAAAGGGAGCGUAGACGGUUAUGCAAGUCUGAAGUGAAAGCCCAAGGCUCAACCAUGGGACUGCUUUGGAAACUGUAAAACUGGAGUGCAGGAGAGGUAAGCGGAAUUCCUAGUGUAGCGGUGAAAUGCGUAGAUAUUAGGAGGAACACCGGCGGCGAAGGCGGCCUGCUGGACCGUGACUGACGUUGAGGCUCGAGAGCGUGGGGAGCAAACAGGAUUAGAUACCCCAGUA